RNAcentral lists this ribosomal RNA (250 nucleotides) under uncultured Pseudomonas sp. Its description in RNAcentral is "partial 16S ribosomal RNA". It matches the Rfam family "Bacterial small subunit ribosomal RNA", at positions 103 to 355 of the family's 1533-position model. Lineage: Bacteria; Pseudomonadati; Pseudomonadota; Gammaproteobacteria; Pseudomonadales; Pseudomonadaceae. The record is from RNAcentral.
CGGGUGAGUAAUGCCUAGGAAUCUGCCUGGUAGUGGGGGAUAACGUUUCGAAAGGAACGCUAAUACCGCAUACGUCCUACGGGAGAAAGCAGGGGACCUUCGGGCCUUGCGCUAUCAGAUGAGCCUAGGUCGGAUUAGCUAGUUGGUGAGGUAAUGGCUCACCAAGGCGACGAUCCGUAACUGGUCUGAGAGGAUGAUCAGUCACACUGGAACUGAGACACGGUCCAGACUCCUACGGGAGGCAGCAGCA